Long non-coding RNA from Anopheles merus, 736 nucleotides. RefSeq lists it as uncharacterized. The transcript has 3 exons. The record is from RefSeq and is a predicted model, not a curated record. Lineage: Eukaryota; Metazoa; Arthropoda; Insecta; Diptera; Culicidae.
UCUCCGAUAGCACAAGCGCGUAAUCAACGCUGGGUGCUUUGUCGAGUGUCUUGUUAUGCGCGAGACAGAGCGUGCGGUUGAGCAGUAGCCGGCGAGCUCCACUAUUGUAAUUCCUUUCAUCACUGCCCGGUAUUAUAUGAUCGAGGUUAACGUUUCUGUUUAUCCUGUAUCAACACAUUUUGCCGUUGCCGGCUAGAACUGGUGCUGCUGCCGCCACCGGUACCGACCCGUAAUCCAGGGCGGUUGAACAAGACGGGAAAUUCGAAAGUAAUCAUGAAAUCUCGCUACUUUCACCAAUGGCUUUGAUUCUAUUCCGUACCCAGAGCGCUGUAUUAGAAUAGGAAGAAGAAAAAAAAGAAGCUAUACCGCCCGCUCAUCGUCAUUCGGUCGAUGAUGCUUCGCCAACUGUUUCCGCAUGUCUGCUCCGACACAACAAGUGAUGCCUCGCGGAAAAUAGCAGGAGGUCCAUUCGAUGACAAUAAUGCUGCUGUCACGUGGUGCCAUAACUCUGGCAACCGAGAAGCAGCCCGAAGCGAAAGCAGGUCAGCAGUCGGGCUGACAAGAGAAUAAACAAGGCUCAAGAGCGUACAGGUGGGAAUUUGAGAGGUUUUAGCUUGUCACUUUGCUUUGGCUGGGCGUUGAGAGACCGCUGCGCUGAGUUGGCUGAAGAGCGUUUUUCGAUAGUCUACAAACGAAAUAUAUAGUAGUGCUCAAAUUAGAUAUAACUUUAUGACAU